UUUUUUUUUAUUCUUUUUUAUGUUUUUUUUUGUAAAAUGUUUUGAUUUUUUUGUAUUUUUUUGUAAUAUUUAAAAUUUGUUUUUUGAACUGGAUUAGUACCCAGGUAAUCAAAGUUUAUUAAUUCGGGAGUAAAGUUUUGUUUAAACCGAAAAAAUAUUGACUGACUUUAGAUUUUUCUUUGGAAUAUGUGUUUUUGGAGAGCCCUCUUUUUUGGUGAAUUUUAUUGGCACAUGUAUGAUUGUUUAGUUUUUAUGUUAUUUGUGUUGCUUUUAUGUUUUUUUGCAUUUAAAACAGAUAUAUAUUUGGCUUAUAAAUUUAUUUUUCAUGUAUUACUAUUAUUAAUUUUUUUUGGAUUUAUUUUUUAUUUUAUUUUUGAAAUUGGAAAAGAAAGUAAUUUUUUCUUUAUGUGUUAAUGAAUUUAAUAAAUAAAGUGGUACAAACA
This 443-nucleotide ribosomal RNA is filed under the name Dirofilaria repens. Its description in RNAcentral is "partial 12S ribosomal RNA". The record is from RNAcentral. Lineage: Eukaryota; Metazoa; Nematoda; Chromadorea; Rhabditida; Onchocercidae.